RNAcentral lists this unclassified non-coding RNA (3261 nucleotides) under Thrips palmi. Its description in RNAcentral is "uncharacterized LOC117644286, transcript variant X2". The record is from RNAcentral. Lineage: Eukaryota; Metazoa; Arthropoda; Insecta; Thysanoptera; Thripidae.
UCCCUCUCCUCCAAGAGACACACACACUUCCACACACACACAGUCUUCUCCGACCAGUGGCCACCGGUUGAACGGCGUCUUGACGAUUUUGACUUUGCGUAGCGUGUUGUGUUGCAUGUUGUUCGGUGCCAGGGACCUCGCCUGCUGUUUGUCUUGAGCAAGCUCAGGUUUAGUCGCCUCAUCAUGGACUCCAUUCCUGCCUCCCCUUUGCCAUGUCAGGAGGAAAGGAAGUUCCCCACCAACACAGUCUGCUCGGUGCAUAUUCAAUGGAUUGAAAACGAUGGAUCUUUGUGGGUCCUACUGAGUCCAGAAGUUGAAACUAUGGAGUAUGUGUCCCAAUAUUUAGCGGACUGUGCCAAUUUUGAUGGAUUGAAUUCCAUAGCAGUUGGUGAUGUUGUAUCUGCUUUUGAUGCUGAUGAUGGUUGCUGGUACCGAGCUAAAAUCUUGAAGACUGACCCAUUGACUAUUAAAUUUAUUGACUUUGGAAAUGUGGCUCGAGUAACCCCUGAGUUUGUGGCUGCCUUGCCACCUGACCUCUCAUUGAUUCACGAACUGGCCAUUCAUGUUAAACUAGCCCCUGAAUCAAAUAUAAUUCCGUGCCUUGGGGAUGAGCUUCUAGUAAAUUAUGUCACAUCAGAUAAUGGAAUAGCUGUUGUUAGUGUUGAAGUACCGGUGGAAACACAGGCGCCGGUUGAAUUGGUCGCGCCACUGCCACCUGCUUUACCAGGAGUGGUGGUGACAGAACACAUUUCUGACACUGUGCUUAAAGAAACGAUGCCAACGGUAUCUAGUGAGCUGAAAACUUCUGACGCAGGUUUUGAUUUGGAUAGUGAAACCAAAGACAUUAUUUUCGAGUCAAGUAUUGAUUCAAAUGAAACAAUUGUCGUCACAGAGUCAGUGACUGCAGAUGUGUGCAACUCUAUGCAGUCUGGAUUGCUUGAUAGCAGUGAAGUGUUGGCGUCAGUGCCAGUGGCAACUGUUCUUGCGUUGGACUCAGAGAAGCCACCACAGGCUGCCGAUGAGGGUAACUCUAUGCAGUCUGGAUUGCUUGAUAGCAGCGAAGUGUUGGCGUCAGUGCCAGUGGCAACUGUUCUUGCGUUGGACUCAGAGAAGUCACCACAGGCUGCCGAUGAGGGUAACUCUAUGCAGUCUGGAUUGCUUGAUAGCAGCGAAGUGUUGGCGUCAGUGCCAGUGGCAACUGUUCUUGCGUUGGACUCAGAGAAGUCACCACAGGCUGCCGAUGAGGGUAACUCUAUGCAGUCUGGAUUGCUUGAUAGCAGCGAAGUGUUGGCGUCAGUGCCAGUGGCAACUGUUCUUGCGUUGGACUCAGAGAAGUCACCACAGGCUGCCGAUGAGGGUAACUCUAUGCAGUCUGGAUUGCUUGAUAGCAGCGAAGUGUUGGCGUCAGUGCCAGUGGCAACUGUUCUUGCGUUGGACUCAGAGAAGUCACCACAGGCUGCCGAUGAGGGUAACUCUAUGCAACCUGAAUUGCCUGAUACCAACGCUCCUCCGGAUGAUGUGUUGGGUUUCCUGGGGGUCUCCAGCUCGGCAGUGGCAACAGCUGCGCCUGUUGAAGCAACUUUGACACCCAUAUCAAUUGACAAGGAAAUUUCUACUGUACAAGGAGUGGCUGCAGCAACUGACUUCCCAAUGAAAACAACUCUUCCAACUGCACCAGGUGAUCAGGAGCUGUCACUGCUACAUCCACCUAAAAAACAGCCUGAAUUUUGCUCAGAUUCUUCCAAGCCAAUUUUUGCUUCACCUGGAGAGCCUGUGGUUGAUACAUUUGUUUACUCGCCCAUGGAAGCAGCCCUGCAGACCAUGGCAAGUGGUCAGGAGCUUAUAGUGCCAUGUCCGCCUCCAGAACUACAAGAUGCUAAAUCAGAUUCUUAUGAACAAGUUUCUGUUCUACUAAGAAAAGGUGUGGCUGAUCCAGUUUGCAUAACACCUAAAGAAAGGAGAAUGGGCAGCAUUUCCAAUAAUAUUCGUUCUGAUUCACCCAAAACAGUUUCUGUACCACCAGCUGUUCCAACUGAAGUAGUUUCUGGAUCAUCUCUUGAAGAUGUGUCUGAUGUGAUUUCUCAUGCCUUUGAAAAGGGUAUAACUAAAGUAGUUUCCAACCCGCCGAAAAUUGUCAAUGGGUCACUUAAUAGUGUCCUAAAUGCUUCAGCUAAAGCUUUCACCAUAUCUGAAACCCCCUCAUCUCAUGGACAGCAUGUCAGGAAGAAAGAAACAAAAAGGGAUACAUCUGAGUUUUCUCAUCACUUUGAGUUGAGUAUCAUUCAAGAACAACUACGACUUCAAAUGUUACAACUUCAAAAGAGAAUUGAACAGGACGUUGCCUAUCAGAUAAAUUGUCUUAAGCAAGAAAUGUCCAGACAGAUUGGACAUCAAAUGGCAACUUUAUUUGCUGAUGUUGCUAUGAUAAAGAACGACAUUCAGAUGGGCAGAUGUAGUGAGCGUCGUCCACCAAUGAAUUCUGUGCAAUGUCAGAAUUCAAAUCUCUCUACCAACGAGCAGCCCUUCCAACAUCAAGCCUCAGCCCUUCAAAAAAAUACUCAUCAAUUUUAUGGCUAUGAAACUGCAAGUCAUCUAGGAAUGGAUUAUUCUUACUCUCAUGAUCUGCCAUCUGAGCUGCAGUCCUUCAAAGCUAAUGACAGGGAAACCCACUUAAACAAACUGAAAGUGGACUCUAUUGAGCCUUCCACGAGUGAAACGAUUGAGAAGCCAAGUGUUCUGAAGUCUGCCUCAAAACUUGUUUAUGUAACCAAAAUUGCAAAGGAUGUAACUUUGGAUCAUUUGUUUACAUUGUUUGGUCUUUAUGGUAAUGUCCUAAAGAUUAAAAAAAUGUCACCUGUAUCCGCUGUGAUUGAAAUGGGUGACCCUGCACAAGCUGAUCUGGCUGUCCGCUAUCUUAAUUUUGCCCCUUUGAAGGGUUUAAAGCUGCAUGUAAACCUGUCCAAAUUUUCCACUAUUUUUACAAAUCGUGAAGACUAUGAAGCAGGUCUUGUUAAGGACUUCUCCAAAUCAAGGCUGAACCGCUUUAAGGCUGGCCGGAUGGAUUGGGAUGCUGAUAAAUUAUCCCCCCCUUGCAACAGAUUAAGAACAAAUGAAAUCUACCUCUGAUGAUAAGAUAAAAGAUAUAUUCAAAAGUAAAGGACAUCAUGUUGCGAUAAACUCCGUACCAGGGAGGACUUCUGAAACAAAGACGUUGUAUAUUUCUCUCAACUCAACAGAAGAAGCCAUAAAUGCUUUGUGUGU